Molecule: long non-coding RNA, 438 nt
Organism: Dreissena polymorpha
Lineage: Eukaryota; Metazoa; Mollusca; Bivalvia; Myida; Dreissenidae
Exons: 4
Source: RefSeq, a predicted model, not a curated record
CUGUGCGAGUGUGGGGUCGGCUACACGUACAACGCCAUCAGCAAGCGGUGCGACGACGUGGACGAAUGUCGAGCAAGCCGGAACCCCUGUCAUGACAACGCCAUCUGUAUCAAUACUCUGGGCAGCUACAGGUGCGAGUGUAUCCCUGGUUACCAACUAGCGUCCGAGGGCGGCAGGUGCAUUGAUAUAAACGAGUGCCAGGAUGUGGCGGGGAUCUGUACGAACGGCGACUGCAGGAACCUCGAGGGCAGCUACCAGUGCAUCUGCAAGCAGGGCUACCGACUGGCCGCCUCCAGGGACUCCUGUCUCGACAUCAAUGAAUGCGAGCUUCAACCUGGCCUCUGCCGGAACGGGACAUGCGAGAACCGGAUAGGCAGCUACGAGUGUCGCUGUAGCGAGGGAUUCAAACUCAGCGACAGAAGGGACUGCGAGGGUACG